This is a long non-coding RNA of Cuculus canorus (common cuckoo), 2959 nucleotides long. RefSeq lists it as uncharacterized. The transcript is spliced from 3 exons. The record is from RefSeq and is a predicted model, not a curated record. Lineage: Eukaryota; Metazoa; Chordata; Aves; Cuculiformes; Cuculidae.
GCUCACCGUAGGUGCUGCCGCACAUGAGGGGGACCUCCUGCUAUGCACUGGGUUCCGGCUUCAAGAAGAGGGAUUCGUGGUAAGGAUUGCCAGCCUGGUGGUGCCUGGAUCCUACUCUCAGCUCACCCUUAAUUUGACCCAAGACAUUUUGCAAGCAAAUAAAUCCCUGUGGAGAUGCAUCAUGUACUGCUACCUCAUUACAAAGGCUCACUGCUCAACGCACAGCAAUUCAAUGGAGGAGGCUGCUUGAGGAAGCAUAUAUUUUCACUCUGAGAUAAGCUUACCAUCAUUUGUCCUCAAACUUUCCCCACUCCUGCCUAGUACCACCCUGAUGCAACAGUCUGCUUCUGCUCCUGCAAUGUCUACGAUCAAAUAUGUCAUGGAGAAGCCUCUGAGAUGUAAACAUGUUUCUUCUUCUCCUUGGAAAUCACUAGGUCAGCUGUACACUGUGAUGACACUCACAUAAGAAAGGGAAAAAUAUUUUCAUCUCAAAACAUCAAGCGCUGGAAAGAAGGGGUUUGAUUCUAAAACAUACUAUUUCUUCCUCUGCUGCUAUUAAGAGCCACUGUGGCCCUGCAUAUGGCCAGCUUUCAGCCCUGAUAGUGAUUUCUUUUCCUAAAGUCACCCGCAAGAAUAUCAGAAAUAGGAAUAAGACAUCCCAGCUCCAAAUCGUAUCUCUCAGUCAUACGGCCAUUGUCUCUCUCUUUUGCCUUUGCCAAUUUUACACUGUCCUGCUUAAAGCAAUGUUCAUGCUCUACAGCACCUCUCUCUUCCAAACAUAAAUCAAUAGAAGUCCCUGCUGAUUUAAAAAAUGAAGCAAAAAACUUUUUGAUAACUCCAACAAUUGCUCAUAAAGGACUAAAGUACUCUAGAAACCUGUACUGCAUUCGGUUUCUAGAACAGUAACUGUUUUAUCCAAAGUGCUCCGUUUCCCUUUGCUAUUUCAACCAGGAAAAGCCAAACUCUUAUUUUGCACUUUACUCAAGAGGGUAUCAAGGUCUACCAUUUCUAACAACAUGGGGAAAAUACAGAGAGGCAGUAUAUAACAACUAGCUCUAUGUAUGUAACAGCCAGACCUAUACUGUUGCAUAAACAUACUAUAUGAAAAUUUCUGGCAUGAGAGUGAUUACUGCAACAACGGCUUAUCUGCAUGAUAUUUGAUUGACUGAAAAGGAGCUAAACAGUGGUUUCUCUUUGGCAACCUCUCCUAUUUCCUUCUUGAAUGGUAGAGUAUUGAAAAAAAAGAGGAAAAGUCCCAUUUUUAGAUCCAGUGAGUACUUCCCGAUGCCCCAUUCUCGUGUCCCAGGCAGCUGGCACCCACUGAAGGUUCGAGGAAGAAGAGUGUCACCACUGCCAGGAAGGCUGACAGUCCGCAGCCCUGCAGCACACCACACAGCUCUGCAGCCACUGCACCAGAACCUCCCAGGUGGCAUGAGAUGCAAGAGGUACAAGGCAUAACUCAACUCCCCUCAAAAUCAAUAGCAAAACUUCUGCUAAAUUCAGAGAGAAAAAAUGAUUCUGAUUUCAAGCAGCACUGAAAUACAAGGUUCUGCCAGAUGUUACAUAAACGAUGAUGUAAUGCUGAAGUAUUUCAUUACACAUGCAGCUCUGUUCUUCAGCCCAACAGUGAUUUAUUACAUUUUGUCAAUCCUAUUUUAUGUACCCACAUCACUUUUACCUCAUUUUUCUUCAUGACAUUGUUACAUUGUCACAUAGGGACACAGAGGUAAUAUCAUAACAAUGCAGGCAAUGAAGUUAGCAUUUUACAAACAACGUUACUAAUAAAUAAGUAUACCAGUGAGGGGGAAAUGGUCUGUCUGAGAGAGUGAAAAACGAAUUUACCUUUGAAUAAUCUGAUGGGGGGAAGAGGCCGCAGGUCCAAUAAGAAAACUGAGUUUGUAUCCUCUCGGAGUAUCUUCUGCCUUCAUGCAGAAUGGUGAGGAAAUGCUGUUCUUGCCUCUUUUCAGUUUAAUCUCACAUUCUCUUUGUUUUCCUAAUGUGUUCUGUGUGCUGCCAGCUAGACCUCACACAAACAGCUGCUUGGUUGAAGAGAUUCAUCAGCAAGUGCAAGAAGAUCAAUGCUUAAAAUCUGUUUUGAGCGUGAAAUUAUCAAACCAUUGGAUAUACUACCGGUUUUCCCUGGUUUUCCAUCAAGGUUUGUUAGCAAAUCACACCAAGCAAUAUCUCUUCUUAUCAGGAGAAAAAGAAUUUCAGAAGAUAUAAGCUGAAAAGAUACGAAGGCUAUGUCAAACGAAUGCAGCAGGAUACUUAAAAGAUGCAUUCCUAAAGCAAUAUCAUUAAAGAAAAUAGCCCUUCUGGUGAGCAGGAUGCCAAAAACCCUGUUAGAUGGCUGAAAGAGAGAAGCCCUCUUUUCUAGUAGAUAGACAUUAACCUGCAUCAUGCAAAAUGUUGCAGUGAGAAGCUGCAGCUGAUAGCAAUUUAAAAUUGUCUUCUUUCAAGGAGCACAAGGCCAAAUUCUGCUUUUCUUAUGUCACUAGAAAAUCAAAGAAAUUUGCUCUUAUAAAUGGCAUGUCCCCCUUAGGAGUAUAAAAGGCAUUUCCCUGUUUUAUGUGGAGUCUCUGCAGGUUAGUAUUUGUUACUUAGUAGGUAAGGUGCAAGUCAGCAGAAGACUCAAGUACAUGCUUAAUUCUCAUUAAUUUCAGUGGUUAAGAACAUGUUUAGGGCUUUGGCUAAACAAAAGCUUCCCUCUCCUGUUCUUCAAUAUUUCCUUGGCCCCUAUUCCAAAGCCCAUUAAAAUUUGUCUCAGUACACCCACCAACUGCACUGCAUCUGAGAUGUCAUUGCCAGGCACUCAGUCUACUAUAAAACAUCAGCGUUUCACAGAGACGUGAUUCCGCACUUCAAAAAACAGCUAAGUGCUUCCCCAAUCUGGAUGUCAAAAACAAACAGUCCAGAAAGGAAACUGCUUUCUGCUCCAGGACAUCACUGAGUAACUAUC